Parelaphostrongylus tenuis is the source of this 72-nucleotide non-coding RNA. Lineage: Eukaryota; Metazoa; Nematoda; Chromadorea; Rhabditida; Metastrongylidae. The record is from the annotation of a GenBank genome assembly.
GCGUCGUGCUGCAACGGUUAGCAUACGCUCCCGGAAAGAGUGAGAUCUGGGUUCGAAUCGCCGGCUGACGCA